Molecule: ribosomal RNA, 547 nt
Filed under: uncultured bacterium
Lineage: Bacteria
Description: bacterial SSU rRNA
Rfam family: Bacterial small subunit ribosomal RNA
Source: RNAcentral
UAGGGAAUCUUCGGCAAUGGGGGGAACCCUGACCGAGCAACGCCGCGUGAGUGAAGAAGGUUUUCGGAUCGUAAAGCUCUGUUGUUAAGGAAGAACGAGUGUGAGAAUGGAAAGUUCAUACUGUGACGGUACUUAACCAGAAAGGGACGGCUAACUACGUGCCAGCAGCCGCGGUAAUACGUAGGUCCCGAGCGUUGUCCGGAUUUAUUGGGCGUAAAGCGAGCGCAGGCGGUUAGAUAAGUCUGAAGUUAAAGGCAGUGGCUCAACCAUUGUAGGCUUUGGAAACUGUUUAACUUGAGUGCAGAAGGGGAGAGUGGAAUUCCAUGUGUAGCGGUGAAAUGCGUAGAUAUAUGGAGGAACACCGGUGGCGGAAGCGGCUCUCUGGUCUGUAACUGACGCUGAGGCUCGAAAGCGUGGGGAGCGAACAGGAUUAGAUACCCUGGUAGUCCACGCCGUACGAUGAGUGCUAGGUGUUAGGUCCUUUCCGGGACUUAGUGCCGCAGCUAACGCAUUAAGCACUCCGCCUGGGGAGUACGACCGCAAGGUU